CGAAAUUCUGUUCGUAUCUUUUAGACAUCGUAUGGCCAUCGCGCCAUCAUUGUAAUCCAUCGUGUAGCCUUCGUAAUCCAUCGUGUAGCCUUCGUGAUCCAUCGUGUAGGCUUCGGCUGAUAUAUGAAGCUUAAAUACCCGUCUUCGGUUAACCUUCGUAUGUCCAUCUUUUGCUAUCGUAUAUAAUUUCGGCACCAUCGUAUAGACUUCGUUAUUCAUCGUACUUGCUUAGGUCACUUUUUGGUAUUUUAACGAGAUCGGGA
This 263-nucleotide long non-coding RNA is filed under the name Mytilus galloprovincialis (Mediterranean mussel). Lineage: Eukaryota; Metazoa; Mollusca; Bivalvia; Mytilida; Mytilidae. The record is from RNAcentral.